Molecule: transfer RNA, 71 nt
Filed under: Scolopsis vosmeri (whitecheek monocle bream)
Lineage: Eukaryota; Metazoa; Chordata; Actinopteri; Spariformes; Nemipteridae
Description: tRNA-Gly
Rfam family: tRNA
About the family: Transfer RNA (tRNA) molecules are approximately 80 nucleotides in length.
Source: RNAcentral
GCCUUUUUAGUAUAACGUCAGUACGAGUGGCUUCCAACCACUGGGCCUUGGUUAAAUUCCAAGUAAAGGUA